RNAcentral lists this transfer RNA (66 nucleotides) under Paraleuctra cercia. RNAcentral describes it as "tRNA-Tyr". It matches the Rfam family "tRNA". Rfam says of the family: Transfer RNA (tRNA) molecules are approximately 80 nucleotides in length. Their secondary structure includes four short double-helical elements and three loops (D, anti-codon, and T loops). Lineage: Eukaryota; Metazoa; Arthropoda; Insecta; Plecoptera; Leuctridae. The record is from RNAcentral.
GGUGAAAUGGCUGAGGUGCAGGCAAUAGAUUGUAAAUCUAUGUACGAGGAAUUUUCUCUUUUACCA